CUUUUGAGUAUAAUUUAAGGUCUGGCCUGCCCAAUGAAUUUUUAAUGGCCGCGGUAUUUUGACCGUGCAAAGGUAGCAUAAUCAUUAGUUUUUUAAUUGAAAGCUGGAAUGAAAGGUUAGAUGAAAAAAUAACUGUCUCUUUUUAAAUUAAUUAGAAUUUUAUUUUUAAGUGAAAAAGCUUAAAUAUAAUUAGAAGACGAGAAGACCCUAUAGAGUUUUAUUAGUUAUUAAUAGUAAAUUUUUAGCAUUAAUAUUAAUAUUAUUAAUAAUUAAUUUGAUUGGGGUGAUCAAAAAAUUUAAUUAACUUUUUUAUUUUUUUUCCAUUAAUUAAUGRRUAAUUGAUCCUUUUUAAGAUUAAAAGAUUAAAUUACCUUAGGGAUAACAGCGUAAUUUUUUUUGAGAGUUCAGAUCGAGAAAAAAGAUUGSSACCUCGAUGUUGGAUUAAAAUUUAAUUUUGGUGUAGAGGCUAAA
Molecule: ribosomal RNA, 471 nt
Filed under: Acalonoma pusilla
Lineage: Eukaryota; Metazoa; Arthropoda; Insecta; Coleoptera; Curculionidae
Description: partial 16S ribosomal RNA
Source: RNAcentral